UGGGGAAUCUUGCGCAAUGGGGGCAACCCUGACGCAGCGACGCCGCGUGAGUGACGAAGGCCUUCGGGUUGUAAAGCUCUGUGGAGGGAGACGAAUAAGUGUCGGCGAACAUCCGGCACGAUGACGGUAUCCCUUUAGCAAGCACCGGCUAACUCUGUGCCAGCAGCCGCGGUAAGACAGAGGGUGCAAACGUUGUUCGGAAUUACUGGGCGUAAAGCGCGUGUAGGCUGCCCUGCAAGUCAGGUGUGAAAGCCCUGGGCUCAACCUAGGAAGUGCACUUGAAACUGCGGGGAUCGAGGGCUGGAGAGGGAAGCGGAAUUCUCGGUGUAGAGGUGAAAUUCGUAGAUAUCGAGAGGAACACCGGUGGCGAAGGCGGCUUCCUGGACAGUUACUGACGCUGAGACGCGAAAGCGUGGGGAGCAAACA
RNAcentral lists this ribosomal RNA (426 nucleotides) under uncultured bacterium. RNAcentral's name for it is "bacterial SSU rRNA". It matches the Rfam family "Bacterial small subunit ribosomal RNA", at positions 355 to 774 of the family's 1533-position model. The record is from RNAcentral.